GACGAACGCUGGCGGCGUGCUUAACACAUGCAAGUCGAACGGAAAGGCCCUGCUUUUGUGGGGUGCUCGAGGGGCGAACGGGUGCGUAACACGUGAGUAACCUGCCCUUGACUUUGGGAUAACUUCAGGAAACUGGGGUUAAUACCGGAUAGGAGCUCCUGCAGCAUGGUGGGGGUUGGAAAGUUUCGGCGGUUGGGGAUGGACUCGCGGCUUAUCAGCUUGUUGGUGGGGUAGUGGCUUACCAAGUCUGUGACGGGUAGCCGGCCUGAGAGGGUGACCGGCCACAUUGGGACUGAGAUACGGCCCAGACUCCUACGGGAGGCAGCAGUGGGGAAUAUUGCACAAUGGGCGGAAGCCUGAUGCAGCAACGCCGCGUGCGGGAUGACGGCCUUCGGGCUGUAAACCGCUUUCGCCUGUGACGAAGCGUGAGUGACGGUAAUGGGUAAAGAAGCACCGGCUAACUACGUG
Molecule: ribosomal RNA, 468 nt
Filed under: uncultured bacterium
Lineage: Bacteria
Description: partial 16S ribosomal RNA
Rfam family: Bacterial small subunit ribosomal RNA
Source: RNAcentral